RNAcentral lists this ribosomal RNA (670 nucleotides) under Erwinia sp. C11j. RNAcentral's name for it is "bacterial SSU rRNA". It matches the Rfam family "Bacterial small subunit ribosomal RNA", at positions 804 to 1475 of the family's 1533-position model. Lineage: Bacteria; Pseudomonadati; Pseudomonadota; Gammaproteobacteria; Enterobacterales; Erwiniaceae. The record is from RNAcentral.
AAACGAUGUCGACUUGGAGGCUGUUCCCUUGAGGAGUGGCUUCCGGAGCUAACGCGUUAAGUCGACCGCCUGGGGAGUACGGCCGCAAGGUUAAAACUCAAAUGAAUUGACGGGGGCCCGCACAAGCGGUGGAGCAUGUGGUUUAAUUCGAUGCAACGCGAAGAACCUUACCUGGCCUUGACAUCCACGGAAUUCGGCAGAGAUGCCUUAGUGCCUUCGGGAACCGUGAGACAGGUGCUGCAUGGCUGUCGUCAGCUCGUGUUGUGAAAUGUUGGGUUAAGUCCCGCAACGAGCGCAACCCUUAUCCUUUGUUGCCAGCGAUUCGGUCGGGAACUCAAAGGAGACUGCCGGUGAUAAACCGGAGGAAGGUGGGGAUGACGUCAAGUCAUCAUGGCCCUUACGGCCAGGGCUACACACGUGCUACAAUGGCGCAUACAAAGAGAAGCGAACUCGCGAGAGCAAGCGGACCUCAUAAAGUGCGUCGUAGUCCGGAUCGGAGUCUGCAACUCGACUCCGUGAAGUCGGAAUCGCUAGUAAUCGUGGAUCAGAAUGCCACGGUGAAUACGUUCCCGGGCCUUGUACACACCGCCCGUCACACCAUGGGAGUGGGUUGCAAAAGAAGUAGGUAGCUUAACCUUCGGGAGGGCGCUACCACUUUGUAUGUUUUGCU